UGCGUAGGCGGCCUAGUAAGUCAGAGGUGAAAGCCUACAGCUUAACUGUGGAAUUGCCUUUGAUACUGCUAAGCUUGAAUUAGGUUGAGGUUGGCGGAAUGUGACAUGUAGCGGUGAAAUGCAUAGAUAUGUCAUAGAACACCAAUUGCGAAGGCAGCUGGCUAGACCUUAAUUGACGCUGAGGCACGAAAGCGUGGGGAGCGAACAGGAUUAGAUACCCUGGUAGUCC
This 229-nucleotide ribosomal RNA is filed under the name uncultured bacterium. Its description in RNAcentral is "partial 16S ribosomal RNA". It matches the Rfam family "Bacterial small subunit ribosomal RNA", at positions 568 to 796 of the family's 1533-position model. The record is from RNAcentral.